RNAcentral lists this long non-coding RNA (1210 nucleotides) under Homo sapiens (human). RNAcentral describes it as "HSALNT0023202". Lineage: Eukaryota; Metazoa; Chordata; Mammalia; Primates; Hominidae. The record is from RNAcentral.
CUCUGUUUCCCCUUCACUUCCCCUGGUCAGGGUCCAUCAGACAAUCCGUGUGGCUGACAGAGUGAGUGAGAAACCCCAGCCCUUCCGGCCAGAAGCUGUGUGUGCUCCCGAAACUGCCAUGCAGGACCUCAGUAGAUGUGUGCCAUAGAACCACAAGCAAGCUCAGAUAAAUGACUAGGAAGCAGGAAGAUGCAUCUGAUGGCUUCUCUGCAUGAAGACCAAAUAAAAGGAACCUUGUACGUGGACUCUUUUUAAAAAUUAAAAUUUAUUUUGUUUCUUGCAUCUAAUAUAGAAAUAAUUCAUAUUCAUUGUGGAAGAUCUGUGGGAAAAAAAAUAGAAAGAAAAAAAGACUCACCUGUCAUCUACCAAACACCAAUAGACACAAUUGAAAUGAUGAUGUGUUUCUAAUGUUUUUUUUAUAAAGAUCUUUUCAUAGCUAUGUUCAUCCUGAAAAUUCUGAAAAGAGCAGCAACAUUUCCAGUACAUUAUUGAUAUGCACACACAUACAGUAUAUACACAUUGUAUUAGACUGUUCUGGCAUUGCUAUAAAGAAAUACCUGAGAUUGAGUAAUUUAUAAAGAAAAGAAGGUUUAAUUAGCCACAAUUCUGCAGGCUGUAAAGGAAGCAUGAUGUUGGCAUCUGCUCGACUUCUGGAGAGGCUUCAGGAAACUAACAAUCAUGGCAGAAGGUGAAGAGGAAGCAGGCACUUCACAUGGCCAGAGCAGGAGCAAGAGAGAGAGGGCGGAGGUGCUACACACCUUUAAAUGACGAGAUCUCAUAAAGAAGUCACUCACUAUUGCAAGGACAGUACCAAGGGGAUGGUACUAAAUCAUUCAUGAGAAAUCUGCCCCCAUGAUUUAAACACUUCCCACCAGGUCCACCUCCCAUAUGGGGAAUUACAACUGAACAUGAGAUUUGGGUGAGGACACAGAUCCAAACCAUAUCAGAUAUAAAGUAUGUAUAUAUGAAAAGGUAAUGGGAAUGUUUAUCAUAUGUUAUAUAUAUUCCUCCACUUUAUAUAUAAUAUAAAUAUUGAGAUAUAAACAUUAUGAAUAUAAAUUAUAUAUGUAAAUAUAAAUUAUAAUUAUAGGCUGGGCAUGGUUGCUCACGCCUGUAAUCCCAGCAUUUUGGGAGGCCGAGGCAGGCAGAUCACUUGAGGUCAGGAGUUUGAGACCAGCCUGGGCAGCAUGGUGAAACCCCAUCUCUACCA